GACGAACGCUGGCGGCGUGCUUAACACAUGCAAGUCGAACGGAAAGGCCCUGCUUUUGUGGGGUGCUCGAGUGGCGAACGGGUGAGUAACACGUGAGUAACCUGCCCUUGACUUUGGGAUAACUUCAGGAAACUGGGGCUAAUACCGGAUAGGAGCUCCUGCUGCAUGGUGGGGGUUGGAAAGUUUCGGCGGUUGGGGAUGGACUCGCGGCUUAUCAGCUUGUUGGUGGGGUAGUGGCUUACCAAGGCUUUGACGGGUAGCCGGCCUGAGAGGGUGACCGGCGACAUUGGGACUGAGAUACGGCACAGACUCCUACGGGAGGCAGCAGUGGGGAAUAUUGCACAAGGGGCGGAAGCCUGAUGCAGCAACGCCGCGUGCGGGAUGACGGCCUUCGGGUUGUAAACCGAUUUCGCCUGUGACGAAGCGUGAGUGAAGGUAAUGGGUAAAGAAGCACCGGCUAACUACGUG
Molecule: ribosomal RNA, 468 nt
Filed under: uncultured bacterium
Lineage: Bacteria
Description: partial 16S ribosomal RNA
Rfam family: Bacterial small subunit ribosomal RNA
Source: RNAcentral